This 3047-nucleotide long non-coding RNA is filed under the name Sus scrofa (pig). RNAcentral's name for it is "lncRNA (ENSSSCG00025001807.1, ENSSSCG00055026256.1)". The record is from RNAcentral. Lineage: Eukaryota; Metazoa; Chordata; Mammalia; Artiodactyla; Suidae.
UUUUUUUUUUUUUUUGGUCACAAUAGCUCCUGGGCCAGAGAUCGAACUCCUGCUACAGCAGAGACUUGAGCCACAGCAGUGACAACACUGCAUCCUUAACCCACUGAGCCACCAGGGAAAUCCUGGAUCACCCAUCAAACCACCUCCCAAAGGCCCUCCUCCUAAUACUAUCGCACUGGGAAUUAGGCUUGAACAUAUGAAUUAGAGAGGUAGGGGAGACACAUUCAGUCUACGGCACAUAUGUUUUCAUAUUUUCUGGCCCAGUUUUGGUCACCUAAGAGCUGCAUAAUAAAUACUUGAUGGUUGAUUGUUAAUUAUAUUGUAUAAAGGUUUGCACAACACACCUUUAUUUGUUUAUUCAGUAAACAUCCAUUUGAGAAAACCUAUAAUGAGGCAGGCGUUGUUGUAGGCACAAGGAGACACCAGUAACCAGGACACACCUGGUCUCCUGCCUGUUUGCCUGCCUGCCUGGAGCACAUGUUCAGAAUUAUUUAUCAUCAUCCUUUUGGUGCCAGCAAUGAAAAGUGUUCCUAGAUUAUGCAAUUCUAUUGAGUCUAUAUAUAAAGUCAGUUGUUGCUUUAAAACUGUGCAAACAGUGGGGGUUCCCAUCGUGGUGCAAAGGAAAUGAAUCCUACCAGGAACCAUGGGGUUGCGGGUUCGAUCCCUGGCCUCGCUCAUGGGUUAAGGAUCUGGUGUUGCUGUGAGCUAUGGUGUAGGUCACAGACGCGGCUUGGAUUCCGAAUUGCAGUAACUGUGGUAGUAGGCUGGCAGCUACAGCUCCAAUUCGGCCUCUAACCUGGGAACUUCCAUAUGCCACAGGUGUGGCCCUGAAAAGACCAAAAAAAAAUUUUUUUUUCCUUGAAAUUUCACUUAAUCUUCUUCUAUCAGUUCCACACAUUCUACAGUGUGCCUUAUUGGCAGAAGUUGUAUCUUUACAACGGUGGUUCUCACGCUUUUUGACCUUAAGACCUCCUUAUACUCUUAAAAUUAUUAGAACACCAAAGAGCUUUGGUUUAUGUGAGUUAUAGCACUAUAGUUAUUUGCACUACUGUAAAAUUUUAAAAAUACUUUUAAAAUUACUCCAAAGCAAUAAUAAAUUCAUUGCAUGUUCACAAAAUGACAUAUUUUUAUGAAGAAUAGCUAUGGUUUUCCAAACCUGAAACAUUUUGUGAAAAAAUGGCAUUGUUUUACAUUUUUGAAAAUCCCUUUAACAUCAGGCUUAAUAUCAUUUCAAUAUUUAAGAGCUGGAUUCUCACAUCUCCUUCUGCAUUCACUCUGUUGUAAUAUGUUGUUUUAGUUUAAGUAUGUGAAAAAAAACCUGGCUUCGUACAUAUAUGUGCUUGGAAAAGAGAAGAGAAUUUUCAUAGCCUUUUCAUAUAAUGGUGGCUAUUCCCCUUUGAAACCUCACCAAAAGUAGACAAGUAGCAUAGCAAUUUCUUAAGUUCAGUGUAGUAUGGACUCUGAAAUGGUUUCAGUGAAAUUUCCCUACUCAGUUAUAUUAAUACCUUGGUCUAUAAUGCACUUUCAAUGGAUCUUCUGUCCAUAGUCUUACAUAAUUUUAUAACAUCAUGCAUUGACAAUUUGGAAAAUAUUGGUUCACUGAGCUGUGGACAUUUUCCAAAUGUUGACACAUGUCAUUAUACAACCUCAACAAAUCACAUUCGUUAACAUCAGCACCAAUCUUAUCUCAAAAAAAUCUUUAAGUAUUGGGAUAUUGUCGAGCUUAUGAUGCCCGGUUCAAGAUUUUAUAAAAAGCUAAUAUUUUAAAAACUCAAAAGAAACAAAUAUUAAUGGUUGGUUUUCCUUGGUGUGACAAGCUCAUUUGGUUCAUUUUCAAGAAUAUGCCUGCCAAGCUGUCAAGUCUGAAUAACCCAGUUGCCAGUUGUUCUUUCAAGUAAAAAUUGUGUUCCAUAGAGAAAGCAGUUGGUUCAGCUCACCACUCAAACGAUGGUGCAAGAGCUUUUCCUGGAGAUAACUGUGGUAGUUGGAUACACAGCAGAAGUGCUUCAUAUGAAAUAGAAUACUUUCUAUUUCAUCACUCUGAGUAUCCAAAAGACCUGGUGAAAGUUCAAGAUUUAUUUUUUUAUUUUUAUAUACAUAUAAUGAUUUAUAUUUUUUUCCCAUUAUAGCUGCUUUACAGUGUUCUGUCAAUUGUCCACUGUACAGCAUGGUGACCCAGUUACACAUACAUGUAUACAUUCUUUUUUCUCACAUUAUCAUGCUCCAUCAUAAGUGACCAGACAUAGUUCCCAGUGCUACACAGCAGGAAAGUUUAUGCUGCUUUAUCAAGGAAUUCUUAUGUAAAACUGGCUUAAAAAAAAAAAAGAAUUCUAGAUGGCAGCAAAGAAUACUGUAACUACUAGUAUAGUUUGGUGCCAUUGUCAUGAUUCAUGUUAAAGCAUCAACAUUUUUAGCUCCCAUGGCUUUUGUAGCAUAUAUACAAAUGGAAAAACAGUGUUUAGAAGGGGUCAUUUGCAAAUAACAUAUUAUUAUUAUUAAUUUUGACUUUGCAGACUUCCAGAAAGGGGCUUGGAGACCCUGAGUGUGUCCCUGUCAUUGCACUUUGAGAACCACUCCUUUAGAGUCUGUUAUGGAUUGAAUUACGUGCCCCCAACAGUCAUGUGUUUAAUUAGCAUGUGAACUAAUUCCCAGGACCUCAGAAUGUGAUAGUGGUUUGUGAUUGGGCCUUGACAGAAGUGAUUAAUUUAAAAUGAGCCAGUUAGGGGAGGCCCCAAUCCAGUGUGAUCAGUACUCUUGUAAGUGAUAAUUAGGACACGCAGAGGGACCCACACCAGGGACCAUCAGAGGAAGAGGCAGCCAGAGGAUGACCAUCUGCAAGCCAAGGAGAGAGGCCUCAGAGGAAACCAAUACAGCUGGCACCUUUAUCUUGGAUUUCCAGCCUCCAAAUCUAUGAGAAAAAUUCUGUUUGGUAAGCCACCUAGUCUGUUCCAUUCCGCUGUGGCAGCCCUAGCGGACUAACAGAGUCUUUCCCAUGCCCACCCUGAGCGUCACAUGGCCUCUGUAACAAUUCCCCCUCUUUCUCUGGC